GACAGAGGUGCCAAGCGUUAGGCGGAAUCACUGGGCUUAAAGCGUGUGUAGGCGGAUGCCUAAGUACCUUGUGAAAUCCCACGGCUCAACCGUGGAACUGCUGGGUAUACGUGGGUGUCGUUGGGUCAGCUAGGGGUUGCCGGAACAAAUGGUGGAGCGGUGAAAUGACGUAGAUAUCAUUUGGAACGCCAAUGGCGAAAGCAGGCAACUGGGGCUGUACCGACGCUGAG
This 230-nucleotide ribosomal RNA is filed under the name uncultured bacterium. RNAcentral's name for it is "partial 16S ribosomal RNA". It matches the Rfam family "Bacterial small subunit ribosomal RNA", at positions 524 to 750 of the family's 1533-position model. The record is from RNAcentral.